RNAcentral lists this ribosomal RNA (484 nucleotides) under uncultured bacterium. RNAcentral describes it as "partial 16S ribosomal RNA". It matches the Rfam family "Bacterial small subunit ribosomal RNA", at positions 29 to 507 of the family's 1533-position model. The record is from RNAcentral.
AUUGAACGCUGGCGGCAUGCUUUACACAUGCAAGUCGAACGGCAGCGCGGGCUUCGGCCUGGCGGCGAGUGGCGAACGGGUGAGUAAUACAUCGGAACGUGCCCAGUAGUGGGGGAUAGCUCGGCGAAAGCCGGAUUAAUACUGCAUACGACCAGAGGGUGAAAGCGGGGGAUCUUCGGACCUCGCGCUAUUGGAGCGGCCGAUGGCAGAUUAGCUAGUUUGUGGGGUAAAGGCCUACCAAGGCGACGAUCUGUAGCUGGUCUGUGAGGAGGAGCAGCCACACGAGGAGUGAAACGCGGCCCAGACGCCUACGGGAGGGAGCAGAGGGGAAUUGUGGACAGUAGGCGAAAGCCUUGUCCAACAAUGCCACGUGUGUGAUGGAGGCCUUCGGGUUGGAAAGCACUUUUGGCGGGAACGAAAAGGACUGUGCCAAUACCACGGUUCGAUGACGGUACCCGCAGAAUAAGCACCGGCUAACUACGUG